GCAAAGCCAGCAUCUGGUUUACCCCGCCUAAUGUAUCUGAACAACAUAAUAGUUUUAGCAUAGAACACAACAACUAAAAGCUGGAAAUGCAAAUAUUGAUAUCAACGGCUUUUCUUUUAGUUAUUGUUGCAGAAUCAAAAUAUUAAGUAGAAUAUUAUACCAUUUAUAUUGUUUAUUUCUCAGUUAUUGUAUUAUUAGGUAGUCAACUAUUGUCAUUAACCUGUAAUUAUGUAGGAUCUCUGCAAUUAAUUAGGAUUCUAAUUCCUUCUCUAUUAAAGAGACAAUUCCCCUGUACAUUUGAAUAUAUCAAGAAAUUAUUCUCCUCUCAUUCUUUUCUACUUGGCAUCAGAGCAAUUUCUCUGCAGCCUGCGCCUUUGUACUUCCAUGACUGAGAGUUCCUCAGUCAAUAGUGAAGAGGAGAAUAAAACUCCCAAAAACAUGCUGCCUAAAAAUGAGCAGAAGGUUGCUUAUGGCGGUGAUUCCCAUUCUAUCCAAAUCACCUCUUUUCGACUCAAUGGGUCGAACUAUUUUAGGUAGUCUCAAUCUGUCCAGAUGUAUAUCCGUGGCAAAGGAAAAAUGGGUUAUCUUACUGGUGAUCGCAAAGAACCAAAUGCUAAUGACCCACAACAUGAUGUGUGGGAUGCUGAAAACUCCAUGGUAAUGACAUGGUUGGUAAACUCCAUGGAAGAGGAAAUCAGCAGCAACUAUAUGUGUUAUUCCACAGCAAAAGAAUUAUGGGAAAGUGUGAAAGAAAUGUACUCUGAUCUGGAAAAUAAGUCUCAGAUCUAUGAACUUACAUUGAAGGCUAGAGAAAUUCGGCAAGGAAGUGAAAAUGUCACAAAAUACUUCCAUUCCUUAAAACGGAUUUGGCAAGAACUUGAUCUCUUCAACACCUAUAAGUGGAAUUCAACCGAGGAUGUGAAACACCAUCAACAAACAGUGGAAGAAGGAAGAAUUUUCCAGUUUCUUGCCGGUCUCAAUGAGGAGUUAGAUGAAGUUCGUGGAAGGAUCAUUGGAAGAUCAACCUUACCUUCACUAGGAGAAAUGUUUUCUGAAGUUAGACGGGACGAAACUCGCAGGAGUGUCAUGAUGGGAAAGGCAAAAUCUGAUCCAUAUCCUCCUGAGACUAAUGCCUUAAUUGCGGAUACUACUGCCCUUAAAAGUUAUUCAAAUCAGAGGAACACAUCUAACGUCGUGUGUGACUACUGCAACAGACCACGUCACACCCGAGAGACCUGGAAACUCCAUGGGAAACCAGCACAUCUGAAAAAUGGCAAACCGGGUCCUAGAUCUGUUCCUGCAGCACAUGAGGCUAAAAAAUCCUUGCCCAACCAGGAUCAAGUUGAGGAGCUCAUAAGGUUGCUAAAAUCUAGUUCUUUGUCUGGUAUUCCUAAUGCUUCUUUGGCACAAACAGGUAAUUUUAGUACCCCUACUUCUCUAAGUUGCACCUCAAAUAUGUCUGCACCAUGGAUCAUAGAUUCAGGUGCUUCUGACCAUAUGACCGGCCUUUCUUCUCUAUUUCAAACAUAUUCACCUUGUCCUGGAAAUAAAAAAGUUAAAAUUGCAGAUGGAAGCUUUUCACCAAUUGCAGGAGAAGGAAAAAUUCCUUUAUCUACGCACAUUGAUUUAAAAAAUGUGCUACAUGUACCAAAACUUUCAUAUAACCUUCUCUCUGUUGGUAAAAUCUGCGAAGACUCAAAUUGUAAAGUGAAGUUUUUUAACACUCAUUGUAUUUUUCAGGACCGGAAUUCGGGGAAGAUGAUUGGCAGUGCUAAAAUGAUGGAUGGACUCUAUUACUUUGAGGAUGUUUUUGAGAAUAAAGUGGCUCUUGGCCUUAGUGGUAUCAGUUAUGCCUCUGUUAGGGAUCAAAUAAUGCUCUGGCAUAAUAGACUAGGGCACCCUAAUUUUCAAUAUCUUAGGCAUUUGUUUCCAGAUUUAUUCAAAAAUGUUAAUUGUUCUUCUUUUGAAUGUGAAAGUUGUGUUCUUUCUAAAAGUCAUAAAACUCCCUAUUCCUCUCGACCUUAUGAUGCAUCCAAACCUUUUUAUUUAAUCCAUAGUGAUGUAUGGGGUCCAUCUAAAAUUACAACUCAAUUUGGGAAAAGGUGGUUUGUGACCUUUAUUGAUGAUCAUACACGGCUAUGUUGGGUCUAUCUUAUGAAGGAUAAAUCUGAAGUACCAAAGAUAUUUAAAUAUUUUUCAAAAAUGAUAGAAACUCAAUUUGAUGCAAAAAUCUCCAUUUUGAGAAGUGACAAUGGUACUGAAUAUUUUAAUAAAAACCUCGGAGAGUUUUUUCAACAUAAAGGUAUUCAACAUGCCCAAAUACGCCUUAACAAAAUGGCAUAGCUGAAAGAAAGAAUAGACAUCUUCUUGAGGUAGCUCGUGCCAUUAUGUUUGAGAGCAAUGUUCCUAAAUUUUUAUGGGGGGAUGCGGUUCUAACAGCAUCAUAUCUCGUAAAUAGGAUGCCCACUCGUGUGUUAAGUUAUCGCACACCAUUGGAUGUUUUCAAAACUUUUUUUCCAGCAUGUCGAUUGCAUACCGAUUUACCUUUAAAAGUGUUUGGAUGUACUGUUUUUAUGUACGCCCCUAACCUCGUUCUAAACUAGAUCCAAGAGCUGAAAAAUGUAUUUUUGUUGGUUAUUCUCCCAACCAAAAGGGGUAAAAGUGUUACAAUCCUAACACAAAGAAGGUUCAUGUUAGUAUGAAUGUCACUUUUUUAGAACUACAAUCUUUCUAUCAAAAAAAUUCCCUUCAGGGGGAGAGUGUUAAUGAAGACAAUUUUUCAAGUGACAACAAUUUGAAUGAACCUUUACCAAAUCCUGUUUUUAACAUUGAGGAUAUAGAAUUAAUUGAUCACACAAUUGCACAUAAAGAAGUAGAACAUGUGGAAACAGAUCCUGAAAUUGAUAAGGGAAACCUUGUCCCAGACUUAGGUGGUGCCCAAAUAGGAAAGGAAAUACCACAAUCAAAACAAGAGCUUCGUGUUUAUGCUCGGAAAUAUCCUCAAAAGGUCAGAAGUCAGUCCAUCAUUUCAGCAUCCAAUCAACUAGAAACCCCGGAUGAUGGUUCAACAAAGAUGCCUCAAGAACAAACAGGUAAUUCUGAAAUUUCCACUUCUAAUAUUGAUCUACCCAUAGCCAUUAGGAAAAAAACCAGAACUUGCACCAAGAAAUCACUUAAAACCAGUACAAACUAUCCCAUUUCCAAUUAUGUCUCCUACCAAAACCUCUCCCAAAACUACCGAGCCUUUACUUCUAAAAUUACGAAUUUAUUUGUGCCUAGAAACAUUGAGGAAGCACUAGAUGAUCCCAACUGGAAAUUAGCAGUCCUAGAUGAGCUUAAUGCUCUCAAGAAAAAUGAAACAUGGGAAAUUGUGAGCCUACCACAUGACAAAAAGAAGGUGGGUUGUAAGUGGGUUUUUACCAUCAAGUGCAAAGCAGAUGGAAGUGUGGAGAGAUACAAGGCUAGGUUAGUAGCUAAGGGAUUUACCCAAACUUAUGGUAUAGAUUAUCAAGAGACCUUUGCUCCAGUUGCAAAACUCAACUCUAUACAUGUUCUUUUAUCCCUUGCUGCCAACUUGAACUGGCCUUCACAUCAACUUGAUGUAAAGAAUGCUUUUCUAAAUGGAGAGCUAGAGGAAGAAGUGUUCAUGAGUCUUCCCCCUGGAUUUGAGGAAAAAUUGGGAAGAAAUAAAGUUUGUAGAUUGAAGAAGUCUUUGUAUGGUUUGAAACAAUCCCCAAGAGCUUGGUUUGAGAGGUUUGGAACUGUGGUAAAAGGACUUGGUUACAUCCAAAGUCAAGCUGAUCAUACACUGUUUUAUAAACAUUCAACCACUAAUAAAAUUGCUAUUUUGAUUGUAUAUGUAGAUGACAUCAUAUUAACAGGUGAUGAUAGCUUGGAGCUCAAAAGCUUAAGGGAGAAACUUGCUAAGGUCUUUGAAAUCAAAGAACUUGGUCCUCUAAAAUACUUCCUUGGAAUUGAGUUUGCAAGAUCAAAGGAGGGUAUUUUUAUGAAUCAGCGGAAGUAUGUUAUGGAUCUUUUAAAAGAAACUGGAUUACUUGGAUGUAAAUCUGCUGAGACACCCAUGGAAUCCAACAUAAAAUUGUAGCCUGCUGAAGCUGGAAAUAUGGUAGAUAAAGGGAGGUAUCAGCGAUUGGUAGGAAGACUGAUAUACUUAUCUCAUACGCGUCCAGACAUAACUUUUGCUGUAAGUUUGGUGAGUCGGUUCAUGCAUGCACCAGGACCUGAACAUCAAGAAGCUGUUUUCAGGAUCUUAAGAUACUUGAAGGGAUCACCCGGGAAGGGACUUCUUUAUAAAAAUCGUGGACAUCUCCAAGUAGAAUCCUACACCGAUGCAGAUUGGGCUGGAAGUAUAACUGAUCGAAGAUCAACAUCAGGUUAUUGUACCUUUGUCGGGGGAAACUUGGUUAGUUGGAGGAGCAAGAAACAAAGUGUUGUAGCAAGAAGUAGUGCCGAAGCUGAAUUUAGAGCAGUCGCUCAUGGAAUUUGCGAGGGGUUGUGGGUGGAAAAGCUACUGCAAGAAUUGAAUUUUUAUAAUUCUCCACCUAUAAAAUUGUAUUGUGACAACAAGUCUGCAAUAUCUAUUGCACACAACCCAGUCCUACAUGACAGGACCAAGCAUGUUGAAGUUGACAAACAUUUCAUCAAGGAAAAAAUAGAAAGGGGACAGAUAUGUAUGACUUAUAUUCCCACUACAGAACAAUUGGCAGAUAUCUUGACCAAAGGACUACCCAAGAAACCUUUUGACUACAUAACUCGCAAGCUGUCCAUGGAAGACAUUUUCAAGCCAGCUUGAGGGAGAGUGUCGCAGAAUCAAAAUAUUAAUUAGAAUAUUAUACCAUUUAUAUUGUUUAUUUCUCAGUUAUUGUAUUAUUAGGUAGUCAACUAUUGUCAUUAACCUGUAAUUAUGUAGGAUCUCUGCAAUUAAUUAGGAUUCUAAUUCUUUCUCUAUUAAAGAGACAAUUCCCUUGUACAUUUGAAUAUAUCAAGAAAUUAUUCUCCUCUCAUUCUUUUCUACUUUGUGCAUUUUGAAUGAUUUGGUUUUCUGUAUUUUUUCCUUGAGUGAGGGGAGUAAGGGUAGGAACUAUAAAACAAUAGACAGCUAUACAUACUCAAUCCUUGUGCUUCUGCAUUUCAGGGAACUGUAACUGUCUG
This 5172-nucleotide long non-coding RNA is filed under the name Medicago truncatula (barrel medic). RNAcentral describes it as "long non-coding RNA (MTRU_LNC001072)". The record is from RNAcentral. Lineage: Eukaryota; Viridiplantae; Streptophyta; Magnoliopsida; Fabales; Fabaceae.